ACAGGGCAAAGCCGUUGAAAAGCGGCGACGCAAAGCUGUGAGUCUACGGCGGUGAAUCUGCUACGAUUGUCAAGCUGCAA
This 80-nucleotide non-coding RNA is filed under the name uncultured Acutalibacter sp. Its description in RNAcentral is "Cyclic di-GMP-I riboswitch". It matches the Rfam family "c-di-GMP-I riboswitch aptamer". From Rfam's summary of the family: GEMM was predicted in a large-scale screen for bacterial structured RNA regulatory elements. The record is from RNAcentral. Lineage: Bacteria; Bacillati; Bacillota; Clostridia; Eubacteriales; Acutalibacteraceae.